CCCUAGCCCUGAUGAAAGCGACAUCCUUUAUGUUUUUUCUUUAAAAACAUAAAGAUAUAGCGGACAGCGGGAAAUAGC
RNAcentral lists this small RNA (78 nucleotides) under Flavobacterium sp. 123. RNAcentral's name for it is "Flavo-1 RNA". It matches the Rfam family "Flavo-1 RNA". Lineage: Bacteria; Pseudomonadati; Bacteroidota; Flavobacteriia; Flavobacteriales; Flavobacteriaceae. The record is from Rfam by way of RNAcentral.